RNAcentral lists this long non-coding RNA (1610 nucleotides) under Papio anubis (olive baboon). RNAcentral's name for it is "lncRNA (ENSPANG00000048716.1)". The record is from RNAcentral. Lineage: Eukaryota; Metazoa; Chordata; Mammalia; Primates; Cercopithecidae.
AUGUUCUCUCACUUCCUCUAUGUGUCUGUCUUGGCCCUCGGUAGAAAGGGCUUCUGUCUACAUUGUAGCCACUGCCUAUUCCAGCAGCUGGAGGCUUCUGCUGCUGCCCUCACCAGUCAAACUGAUGCCUCACAAACUGAUGCCUGUUUCUUUACAUUGCUGACUUCCAAGUCAAGAUCUCGCAAGGAUGGAGUCUCGUUCUGUUGCCCAGGCUGGAGUGCAGCAGUGUGAUCUUGGCUGACUGCAACCUCCGCCUCCCAAGCUCAAGUGAUUCUCCUGCCUCAGCCUCCUGAGUAACUGGGACUACAGGUGAGCACCACCACAUCUGGCUAAUUUUUUGUAUUUUUACUAGAGAUGGGGUUUCUCCAUGUUGACCAGGCUGGUCUCGAACUCCUGACCUCAGGUGAUCCACCCACCUUGGCCUCCCAAAGUGCUGGGACAACAGGCGUGGGUCACCACACCCAACCUGAUGUAUAUACUUCUAAAUGUAGAUCUGUUGAUAGAGACUGUUAUACAGAUAUUCAUCCACAGUAAAAUUUUAAAUUAGCAAGGGAUCCAGCUAUAUAUAUUAUCACUUGUUUGUUUCACUUCUAUAUUAUAACAUAAACAUAUUUUCAUGCUGUAAUGAUCCUUUUACAGGUUGUGCAGAUGAUUGUGUGAUAGGUGGGCUUCAUUAUUUACUUGCAACUUACUUAUCUCAUACUCUCAUAUUAGCUGGAGAUGUAGGAAUUAGAAUCCUGAGUGCAACUCUUCCUGCCAUCUUUCGGUGCCGCCACUAUGGUGUGCAUGAAUGUCCUGGCUGAUGUUCUCAAGAGCAUCAGUGCUGCCAAAAAGAGAGGCAAACACCAAGUUCUUACUAGGACAUGCUCUCAAGUUGUUGUCCAGUUUCUAACUGUGAUGACGAAGCAUGGCUACAUUGUGAAUUUGAAAUCCUUGAGGAUCACAGAGCUGGGAAAAUUGUUGUCAACCUCACAGGCAGGUUAAACAAAUGUGAAGCGAUUAGUUCCAGAUUUGAUGUGCAACUCAAAGAUCUAGAAAAAUGACUAAUAAUCUGCUCCCAUCCUGCCAGUUUGGUUUCCUUGUACUGAUAACCUUAGCUGGUAUCAUGGGCCAUGAAGAAGCAAGACGAUAACACACAGGAGAGAAAAUCCUGGAAUUUUUUCUAGAGAUGUAAUAUAACUUGUUGUUGUUGUUGUUGUUGUUGUUGUUUUAAGACAGAGUCUCACUCUGUUACCCAGGCUGAAGUGCAGUAGCAUGGUCUCAGCUCACUGCAGCCUUGACCUCCCAGGCUCAAGCGAUCCCCCUGCCUCAGCCUCCUGAGUAACUGGGACUACAGGCAGGCAUUACCUCUCCCAGGUAAUUUUUGUAUUUUUAGUAGAGAUGAGGUCUCCCACGUUGCCCAGGCUGGUCUUGAACUCCUGAAGUCCAGCAGUCUGCCUGCCUCAGCCUCCUAGUGUGUUGGAAUUACAGGCAUAAGCCAUUGUGUCCAGCCAGCAUACAAUACACAUUUAUAAAUAAAAUGCCUCAGUGGAAAAAAAAAAUUCUGAGCACAGCUCUCCACCAGUGCCAAAACUUAUCUUGCAGAGUUCAGUCUCAUGACUGGAAAGAAA